GAUGAACGCUGACAGAAUGCUUAACACAUGCAAGUCGAUGGGGAAGUGGUGCUUGCACCAUGGUAACCAUGGCGGACGGGUGAGUAACGCGUAAGGAACUUGCCUGCGGGACUGGGAUAACAGCAGGAAACUGCUGAUAAUACCGGAUAAGGUCAUUAAGCUGCAUAGCUUAGUGAUGAAAGGAGACGCCUGCGGAGAGCCUUGCGUCCUAUUAGCUAGUUGGAGGGGUAACGGCCCACCAAGGCGAAGAUAGGUAGCCGGCCUGAGAGGGUGGACGGCCACAAGGGGACUGAGAUACGGCCCUUACUCCUACGGGAGGCAGCAGUGGGGAAUAUUGGACAAUGGGGGCAACCCUGAUCCAGCAAUUCUGUGUGAACGAAGACGGUUUUCGGAUUGUAAAGUGCUUUCAGCAGGGAAGAAGGAAGUGACGGUACCUGCAGAAGAAGCGACGGCUAAAUACGUG
Molecule: ribosomal RNA, 463 nt
Filed under: uncultured bacterium
Lineage: Bacteria
Description: partial 16S ribosomal RNA
Rfam family: Bacterial small subunit ribosomal RNA
Source: RNAcentral